This 67-nucleotide microRNA precursor is filed under the name Bombyx mori (domestic silkworm). RNAcentral describes it as "mir-2774 microRNA precursor family". It matches the Rfam family "mir-2774 microRNA precursor family". The record is from Rfam by way of RNAcentral. Lineage: Eukaryota; Metazoa; Arthropoda; Insecta; Lepidoptera; Bombycidae.
ACAACAUUCGGGCCGUCGGUCUACCGAGCAAUAUCACCCGCUCGAUGGAAAAUCUGCCCAUUAGCCU